RNAcentral lists this ribosomal RNA (409 nucleotides) under Bacillota bacterium. RNAcentral's name for it is "Firmicutes bacterium partial 16S ribosomal RNA". It matches the Rfam family "Bacterial small subunit ribosomal RNA", at positions 355 to 776 of the family's 1533-position model. Lineage: Bacteria; Bacillati; Bacillota. The record is from RNAcentral.
UGGGGAAUCUUGCGCAAUGGGCGAAAGCCUGACGCAGCGACGCCGCGUGGGGGAUGAAGGCCUUCGGGUUGUAAACCCCUUUCGGCAGGGACGAAGCGAAAGUGACGGUACCUGCAGAAGAAGCUCCGGCUAACUACGUGCCAGCAGCCGCGGUAAGACGUAGGGAGCGAGCGUUGUCCGGAUUCAUUGGGCGUAAAGCGCGCGUAGGCGGCCUCGCAAGUCGGUUGUGAAAUCCCGGGGCUCAACCCCGGGACUGCGUCCGAUACUGCGAGGCUGGAGGUAGGUAGGGGAGAUCGGAAUUCCUGGUGUAGCGGUGAAAUGCGCAGAUAUCAGGAGGAACACCGGUGGCGAAGGCGGAUCUCUGGGCCUUACCUGACGCUGAGGCGCGAAAGCUAGGGGAGCGAACAGG